Carassius carassius (crucian carp) is the source of this 840-nucleotide long non-coding RNA. RefSeq lists it as uncharacterized. The record is from RefSeq and is a predicted model, not a curated record. The transcript is spliced from 3 exons. NCBI's taxonomy places the organism in Eukaryota, Metazoa, Chordata, Actinopteri, Cypriniformes, Cyprinidae.
UUUAUGAGUAACACAUUAUUCUGGAACUGAAUAUUCCUUUCGAGCCUCAAGAAGUCUGAACUCAGCUGAGCAGAUUUGGGUUCGAUCUCAGAGAUUCCUGCACCUAUACAUCACCAUCAGAAGACAAAAUUCAUAAAAGCACAAGAGAAGAACCAGUGUCCAGCAAGAAGCAUCUCAGUUGAGCACGAAACAAAAAAGAAAAUCCAUCAAGAUCAUUUAGUAGACUUACAGCAGAACAAGAAGAAAUGAACAUUCAAAUACCAACACCAGCAGUAGCAGUGACUGGGGUCUCCGUUCAGCCUGCUGUAUCAGUGUUUCAGCCUGCUGUAACAGUGUUUCAGCCUGCUGUAACAGUCGUUCAGCCCGCUGUACCAUUGGUUCAGCCAACUGUGGUCAUGACUCAAAUGCCAGUUGCUAAUGUACCACAUUACAUGUGCUACUCCAUCUUUACCAUGCUGUGCUGCUGUUUCCCUCUGGGCAUCGUUGCUAUCAUCUUCUCAUGCAAUGCUCGAGAUGCUAAAUUUUCUGGACAGCGAGACUUAGCGAUGAGCCACUCCAGAGUGGCAUUUAUCCUGAACAAUGUGUCUGUCGGUAUCGGCCUCGCAAUCAUUACAGCGAUCCUUAUCAUUUAUUUUAAAUAUAUGUGAUAAUAACAUCUUUGAACAGAUGUUUUAUUCUGCUUCAAAUGCAUCUACUCAUUCUGGCAAUGAUACUGUCAACUCAAGUCAAUGAUUUUGCAGAAGAAAUGAAAAAUAUUUUCCAGACCCUCUGAGGGAAUGAUCUAAUGAACGCUUAUGUUUUAUUUCUUUUUGUAUUUAAUGCUGGCAGACUGAUCUGUUU